GCCAAGCAAACCAAGGUCUAUAAAUAUAAAGGGAUAAUGACCAAGAGAGGUAUGUCAUUCUAUCAUAACCCUAGACCUUAACACUUCUCCCUACGUCUAACUUGAUCGUUGGAGAGUCACUGGGCAACUAUCGCCCUAGUGACUUGUUGCAGGUCCGGCGGAGGGAGCACCGAGCUGCGGAGGAAGGAUCCUGACUCGAACCACGGUCAAGAUCCCGCCAAAUCGAACCCCCACAUGUUCUAAACUUCCCCCAGCCCUGUAUUAAAGUCAAGGCACUUUGUUAGCAGUGGAAGUUUGUUGAAGCCGUUUUAGCAGUUGAAGUUUGUUGAAGCCAAAAUGCCCACAACCAUGCAUGAUAUAUACAUUGGUCAAUUUUCAAUAGACAAGUCGCAUGCGCUUCGUUAAAUUAGGUGGGUCAUGUCUUGGAAGAUUCUUUCUUAGUAUGCUGCCUGUUAACAUGUUCUGCACUGAAUUCUCUUUGUUUUUUGUCCAAUGGGUUACUAUAGUCAAGGAAAAUUUCAUGUUUUAACUUCAUUUUCUACAGGAUGAUCCUCGAAAUGGAUGGCAAUGUUAUUGCUGGAAAAGUGGCAACCCACAGCGUGGAUGACGGUGCACCCCUGUCUGAGCAGACUAUAAGUCAAGCUUUGGCUACCGCACGUGACCACUUGGCAAGAGCUCUUCUGAGAUGAAAAAUCUGAGGGUACGUAA
Molecule: long non-coding RNA, 708 nt
Organism: Rhododendron vialii
Lineage: Eukaryota; Viridiplantae; Streptophyta; Magnoliopsida; Ericales; Ericaceae
Exons: 2
Source: RefSeq, a predicted model, not a curated record